GAUGAACGCUGGCGGCGUGCCUAAUACAUGCAAGUCGAGCGAACAGACGAGUAGCUUGCUCCUCUGACGUUAGCGGCGGACGGGUGAGUAACACGUGGAUAACCUACCUAUAAGACUGGGAUAACUUCGGGAAACCGGAGCUAAUACCGGAUAAUAUAUUGAACCGCAUGGUUCAAUAGUGAAAGACGGUUUUGCUGUCACUUAUAGAUGGAUCCGCGCCGCAUUAGCUAGUUGGUAAGGUAACGGCUUACCAAGGCAACGAUGCGUAGCCGACCUGAGAGGGUGGUCGGCCACACGGGAACUGAGACACGCUCCAGACUCCUACGGGAGGCAGCAGUAGGGAAUCUUCCGCAAUGGGCGAAAGCCUGACGGAGCAACGCCGCGUGAGUGAUGAAGGUCUUCGGAUCGUAAAACCCUGUUAUUAGGGAAGAACAAAUGUGUAAGUAACUAUGCACGUCGUGACGGUACCUAAUCAGAAAGCCACGGCUAACUACGUG
Molecule: ribosomal RNA, 497 nt
Filed under: uncultured bacterium
Lineage: Bacteria
Description: partial 16S ribosomal RNA
Rfam family: Bacterial small subunit ribosomal RNA
Source: RNAcentral